UCAAGACACCUUGCAUAACAUGGCCCUAACUGGGUCUUAACUGUUUUCUGCCAUACUUGUGUGUCAACGAUAACGCCUAAUGUUUUUAUUUACUCUUGUGUUAAAUUGCCAUUCUAGUGGGUUAUUCUUUGGUUAUUUUGUGUUGUAUUGUGAAUGUGCAAAUGGGAAAUGUCAGAACAGAAAUCAAAUAAGAAUAUUUUGCGCAAUUUGUACUCAGUAUGAUUUUAAUUUGAUUUGUCGUAUUACAUGUGUGAACUGUAAAAAAAUAAAAUUGAUGUCAACCAAGAAAGUUUAAUAAUAUGUGUGAUGUUAAUUUCACAUUGUCAGACUCGUGCGGUUCUUCCGAAAUUCCGUUACGACAAUGAAGCGGUAACCCGCCAUUUCAAACGGUAAAAUUUGUGACUGAAAUGCUAAACAUGUUUUGUCGUGCAAAACUAUGCAGAGUUAAUAAAAAAUGCAUUGAAUUUACAUUUUAAAAAAGAUUUGUUUUAUAAAAAACGCAUGGCUGUGUGAGGAUCCACUCUAAUUUUGCUAAGAUUUGCUUUGUUUUUAUUUUCGAUUGUUAAUACUGAUUUCAGUUUUCUGUGACAGAAGUAACCUGUAGUUGGAACGUAAAGAUAAACUACUCUUUGGAGUGCUAUUAUGCUUUAGAAGGGCAUAUAUGAUAUAUGAAUAUGAUAUGAUAUGAGAAUGAUAUGAAUAUUGUAUUGUAUUUGGAUAAUCAUUUUGGAUUGACUGGUAACACGUGACAUGAGAUUUAUUGUGUUAUUGAUAAGUAAAUAAGCUAACCAAGCUUAGUAAAUAAAAAUCAGUUUUAUAUUUGAAAAGCGAAACUUGGCGUUGUGACAGCUAAUGAUCAGAUUUGGGAACAUAAGGUGAGGUUAAGCACAUAAGAAAUAUAACAUUCAACCCCAAUAAUAACACGUGCGGUAUAUACAAGUACCAACAAUUCCCAAAAAAGACGACCACACUUAAAUAUCACGUUAACUGAAUUUAAAUAAAGUUCCACUAUUCUGUGUUCAGAUGUGACUGUUAUCCCUAGCAAUAAUGUUCAUUAUAGAUGUUAUAAUUCACAUUUGUUUAUUGAGGUUUUUUCUGAGAUUGUGUUAGCAAAUAACAAUUAAACUUUAUAAACCAAUCACUUGCCUUAUUUUACUCUAACUAUAACCAAUGCACACCAUGCGUUUCAUCUGAACGGUGUUUUGUAUGCCAUGAUUGGUUCACUUUUGUAAAGUAUCAUUUUAAUUGAGAUGAAACUGAUGCACAUGUCAAAGAGAGUUACUGUUAAUAGAAUGCAGAUGAAGAAUAAUUUGAGAAGGGCUUAUCAUCAACAGUUUUUCAUUCAUGAAUGUGAUGUAGUAUGGAAUGAGGAGAUUUAUUAAUUAUGUUGUAAAAGUCGCUUGCAUCAAAUAUUUAUAAAUUGUACUUAAAUACAUACAACACAAAUCGGAUUUGAACUAACUAAACGUUCCUGCAAAUAAAAGUGAUAAAGUGAUCAGUUAUAACGAAUCAGAGAUUAACUUUCAACUUGAAUUUGGAAUGGAGUGAAGUAACACAUCAAUAGCAUCUAAUAACACCUAUCAAGUAUCGUGAUAACAACUUGAAUCAAAUUUGUGUUCAUCAGUUAAAACUUCAUUACUUCAUGUAGUAGGAAUACACACAUAAUUGGCAUAAUUGGAAUGUGUAUUGUAAUAUAAUGCAAUAUUUAAGCAUAAUAUUCGCAAAGUCUUUAGAAAUUCAGUUGUAGCCAAAUACUAUCACUGUGUUGUUAUUCACAACCCCAUUGGGCAAAAUGUUGGCGGAAAAAUUGAUCGCGUCAUCAAAGCAACAAGACCAAAUUUAAUUCUUGAAGUAAAAUCGUCAUUUUAGAAGUUUAGAAGAUUGCAAAUGACUAGAUGCCAGUAGUUGUCUCUUCCAAAAGAAACGCUUAAAUUUAAGCGCAUCACUGUAAUUUCAGAUAUUUCAUGGUACAGUAACUUUAAUUAGUUAAAACCAACUACUUUGAAUCCGAAAACAACAUUUGUAUAAUGAUAUAUCUUUAUAUGCCUGAAUCUUUAUAUAUCUUUAAUGCGAGUAUUUGAUUUGGAAAAAUAAAUCAUCAGAUAAUAUGUGAUGAGUGGGAAGUAGUAUCAGAUUUCAUAAACGUUAUGUUCCUUUUCCGUUAAUACAAUAGUUAUUGCACACAAUUUCUCUUUGGUUGUAUGCUUGCUCAUAUAUGACAAAGAAUAGUAAUUGUCGAUUGAACAAUAUGCCAAAAGUAUAGUGUGAUAUACGCUCGAUAUAUCAUAUGUCUGCUUUUUGCAAUUAUUAAUACGUGAUCAGUAAAACUGUGGAGACUUUGAUACACAUGUGAAAAGUAAUUAGUAUGAAGGAACAUUGUGACACCUGUGCUCAGAAAAUAAUCAACGCGUAACUUGAAGUUUGGUUAUGAAAAUUAUUUAUUGGUUUACUCUGUUCAUUACUUUGAAGUUGUUGGAAUUAUGGAAUAAAAGUGCCAGUAACGAGUUGCUAUUUCGGGUAGUUUAUGCACUACUUCUCCACCAUUUACAUUGCAGUUCUAAUUAUUUAUUGUGGGAAUAUCUCUUAAUUUUUAAUUUUUCUCAAAAUUUUUGAAUGUGAAUAUAUAUGUAUUUCUGCACUAAUACAAACAGUAAGGAAUGGAAACCGGUAACAACUACUUCAUAACUAAUGACAAAGUGAUUUUAAUAGUCCAAACAAACACUUUAAAUUUAUAAAUAUCAAACAUCAUUCUGACCAACAAUACAGAUAUCAAGUGUUGCAGGAAUAGCUUCAAUCAAAUUUAUGCUAAUUAUUGAAAGCUUUAUAAAUAAGCAAAUGUAGCAAGAUCCAGUAAUUCAAGUUAACAUUAUGUAGUGAGCAGUUCACAGGAUUGAGUUACAUUUGUCAGGAAUCGAAUACGUUUGAAAGGAUGAAACAUCAUUGCCUAUCGGAAGUACCUUUAAAAUCUCCUCAUAUUAAUUUAAAUGCUUAAGUAUUCAACAUGUUUUUCAUCUAUUCUAAAACAUCAAAUAACGUUCCGCAUAAAUAAGCAACAAUUCGCAUUAUAAGGUAAACGAUUUCUAAAUUAUUAUAUAUUAAACUA
Long non-coding RNA from Teleopsis dalmanni, 3103 nucleotides. RefSeq lists it as uncharacterized. Lineage: Eukaryota; Metazoa; Arthropoda; Insecta; Diptera; Diopsidae. The transcript has 6 exons. The record is from RefSeq and is a predicted model, not a curated record.